AUACGUAGGGUGCGAGCGUUAAUCGGAAUUACUGGGCGUAAAGCGUGCGCAGGCGGUUAUAUAAGAAAGGUGUGAAAUCCCCGGGCUCAACCUGGGAAUUGCAUCUGUGACUGUAUAGCUAGAGUACGGUAGAGGGGGAUGGAAUUCCGCGGGUAGCAGUGAAAUGCGUAGAUAUGCGGAGGAACACCGAUGGCGAAGGCAAUCCCCUGGACCUGUACUGACGCUCAUGCACGAAAGCGUGGGGAGCAAACAGGAUUAGAUACCCUGGUAGUCCACGCCCUAAACGAUGUCAACUGGUUGUUGGGUGCAUUAGUACUCAGUAACGAAGCUAACGCGUGAAGUUGACCGCCUGGGGAGUACGGCCGCAAGGUUGAAACUCAAAUGAAUUGACGGGG
Molecule: ribosomal RNA, 395 nt
Filed under: uncultured bacterium
Lineage: Bacteria
Description: partial 16S ribosomal RNA
Rfam family: Bacterial small subunit ribosomal RNA
Source: RNAcentral